UACGUAGGGCGGCAAGCGUUGUCCGGAAUUAUUGGGCGUAAAGAGCUCGUAGGCGGUUUGUCGCGUCUGCUGUGAAAACCUAAGGCUCAACCUCGGGCUUGCAGUGGAUACGGGCAGACUAGAGUGCGGGUAGGGGAGACUGGAAUUCCUGGUGUAGCGGUGGAAUGCGCAGAUAUCAGGAGGAACACCGAUGGGCGAAGGCAGGUCUCUGGGGCCGCAAACUGGACGCU
RNAcentral lists this ribosomal RNA (230 nucleotides) under uncultured bacterium. Its description in RNAcentral is "partial 16S ribosomal RNA". It matches the Rfam family "Bacterial small subunit ribosomal RNA", at positions 524 to 747 of the family's 1533-position model. The record is from RNAcentral.